This 253-nucleotide ribosomal RNA is filed under the name uncultured microorganism. RNAcentral describes it as "partial small subunit ribosomal RNA". It matches the Rfam family "Bacterial small subunit ribosomal RNA", at positions 524 to 776 of the family's 1533-position model. The record is from RNAcentral.
GACGUAGGUUGCGAGCGUUAUCCGGAAUUAUUGGGCGUAAAGCGUCAGUAGGUGGUUUGUUAAGUUGGAUGUUAAAGCUCAGAGCUCAACUCUGAACAUGUGUCCAAAACUGGCAAGCUAGAGACAGGUAGAGGCAAGUGGAAUUCUGUAUGUAGGGGUAAUAUCCGUAGAUAUACAGAGGAACACCAAAAGCGAAGGCAGCUUGCUGGACCUGUUCUGACACUCAAUGACGAAAGCGUGGGGAGCAAACGGG